Non-coding RNA from Poecilia reticulata (guppy), 1400 nucleotides. The record is from RefSeq and is a predicted model, not a curated record. Lineage: Eukaryota; Metazoa; Chordata; Actinopteri; Cyprinodontiformes; Poeciliidae.
UUGCUCUGUUGAACUUUUCCCAACAUGGUGAAAAUCAUAACAUUUAUUCUAAAUAUUUUUAUUACAGUUAUUUGCUCUACUUUCCCCUCUACGAUCCGUUCCGACCAAAAGGUUUUUGGCACAUCGUGUAUAUUCGCUGAAAUGAUGCUGCUUACUCUCGGUUGAACUUCCACCAACUCUCUCGGUGCCUCUAAGUCUAGUGUGCAUGAAUGUCAUGAAGAAGCUGAUAAUCUGAGCACAUCUGAACUUCUCUGUUCUUCUGCUUCUUCCUCAAGGGUCCAACGAGUCUGAGCAUCUGCAUCAGAGUCUUGAGGUACGAGAUGCUGCUGUGCAAGGCCUGCUGCUGCAUGUUGCAGCGCGUGGAGGAGAUCGCUUUGUGUGCCGAGUUCCUGCAGCUCCCUGCGGAGGAGCGUGGUGAUGUUAUGGAAAAAGACGAGCUUGUAUGAAAGAAGAGAAAGAGCUGUAUAUUUCAGUUUUCUGGGCCCGGUCCUUAAAAUCUCUGAGAUUUAACUUUUGGUCGUGAGUAACCAGGAUGAAGACAGACAGGUGAGAUUGAACGGAGGAAGCUGGUGGGUUGAAGAUGUGUGAGCUCAAAAAGGAAGAGCGGCGUGUUUGUGGUGAGAGCUGGAAUCAAUCCGCCUGUCAUCCGUCUCAGCCUUACAGUGACUCCCUCUGUGCUGGUGUGUGAACUUUGCCUCCUCUUACUCAGCCUGUCAGUUCUACGGCUCCGGACUGACGCUUCUGAUCUGCUACUGGACAAAAGUUACAGGAGGAGAGUUUUAUUACUAACAAGGCCAAGGUUUUCACUAGAGCUGGGCGGAUUGAUCCAAAAUAUGGAUAAUAUUGAUACCAAAUGGAUAAAAAUCAAUACUUUAGUUUCAGAUUCUCCCUUGACAGAGUUUCUCAACUCUACCAAAAAAGAUUCUGUUUUGAUUCCUCGUUUGUCUUUGCAUUUUGUUUAUACAAGAAAAAAAGCACAAAAAUAGAUUAUAAUGUUAUGCUAUUAAAAUAUUUUUGCAGAUGUUGCACCCUUAAAAACGCUCAUAGAUUUUAAACUUUAUUAAACAAAAUCCACGGUUCGAGCAGGCAGCGUGUGUAGCUUUCUCUUUACAGUACACAAUCACGGGUCAUGAACUUUCUACUCCCAUCAUGCAUUGCGUCGCUCUUAAAGUGGCAUUGUUAUGACCGAAAUCUGUGAAAUAAAAAAACGAAAUGAUUCAUAAAUUCAUAAACUAAAUGAAUUGUUCCAACCAAAUACUAAAUUAAAUAGAUGCUUAGCCACUCAGAUCAAUAAUAUACCAAUUAAUUGAACGUUAUCAUCUUCCUAACAUAUUUUCAGGGCUCUAAACAGACAACUCCAAACUUUGUCCAAAUUCUGUCCUAGAUUUUAACAAAAGAUG